This 265-nucleotide ribosomal RNA is filed under the name uncultured bacterium. RNAcentral's name for it is "partial 16S ribosomal RNA". It matches the Rfam family "Bacterial small subunit ribosomal RNA", at positions 91 to 354 of the family's 1533-position model. The record is from RNAcentral.
CUUAGUGGCGGACGGGUGAGUAACGCGGUGGGCAACCUGCCCCGUGCCGGGGGAUACCGCCUGGAAACAGGCGCUAAUACCGCAUAAGCGCAUACAGCCGCAUGGCAGUAUGCGGAAAGCUCCGGCGGCACCGGGAUGGGCCCGCGCCCGAUUAGCCAGUUGGCGGGGUAACGGCCCACCAAAGCGACGAUCGGUAGCCGGCCUGAGAGGGCGGACGGCCACAUUGGGACUGAGACACGGCCCAAACUCCUACGGGAGGCAGCAG